GACGAACGCUGGCGGCGCGCUUAACACAUGCAAGUCGAGCGAAGCGGCGGACGGGUGAGUAACACGUGAGUAACCUGCCUUAGAAAUUGGGAAAGCCUCGGGAAACCGGGAUUAAUACCAAAUGGUCUAAGAUGGACUCGCGUCCCAUUAGCUAGUUGGUGGGUAACGGCCCCCCAAGGCGACGAUGGGGAGCCGGGUUGAGAGGGUAACCGCCCACAUUGGAACGGAGAAGCGGUCCGAAAUAUACGGGAGGCAGCAGUGGAGAAUAUUGCACAAUGGAGGGAACUCUGAUGCAGCGAGGCCGCGUGAACGAAGAAGGCUUUCGAGUCGUAAAGUUCUUUUAUAUGGGAAGCGGUACCAUAAGAAAAAGCCCCGGCUAACUACGUGCCAGCAGCCGCGGUAAUAC
RNAcentral lists this ribosomal RNA (406 nucleotides) under uncultured bacterium. Its description in RNAcentral is "partial 16S ribosomal RNA". It matches the Rfam family "Bacterial small subunit ribosomal RNA", at positions 28 to 526 of the family's 1533-position model. The record is from RNAcentral.